AUUUUUUUUCAAUUUUCCAUAUUCUUGGAUGUAGUUAUCAUGCCUUACUUUUCAUGAUAGUUUCCUUUGUUUUAGAACCAAAUGAUACCUUUGACAAAUUAAAAUCCUCCCUUGUUAGGAAUUUUAAUACAGUAUCUUUCUCAAUUUGGAUAAAAAUUUUUGUUCAAUGUUUUUGGCAUAGCCUUUUUUAAGUUUCCCUUCUAUCAUCCUUUUCUAUGGAGAAAUUUGGUUCCAAACAAGUUCAUAUCGAC
This 251-nucleotide long non-coding RNA is filed under the name Durio zibethinus. RNAcentral describes it as "long non-coding RNA (DZIB_LNC001769)". Lineage: Eukaryota; Viridiplantae; Streptophyta; Magnoliopsida; Malvales; Malvaceae. The record is from RNAcentral.